CCAAGUGAUCCUAUAUUGCACAACAUGAGAACUCGAAGGGUUCAAGCUGCCAGCAUGGGCAUAUCAGAAUCAAGACAAAAGCAAGUCUACCUUAUUUCACUGAUAAACAAAGGCAGAGUUGUGGCCAAAGGGAAGUUAGUGACUACAGAUAGCCAAAGAGAAAUAUUAGGAGCAAA
Molecule: long non-coding RNA, 176 nt
Organism: Zea mays
Lineage: Eukaryota; Viridiplantae; Streptophyta; Magnoliopsida; Poales; Poaceae
Exons: 3
Source: RefSeq, a predicted model, not a curated record